Molecule: ribosomal RNA, 401 nt
Filed under: uncultured Anaerolineaceae bacterium
Lineage: Bacteria; Bacillati; Chloroflexota; Anaerolineae; Anaerolineales; Anaerolineaceae
Description: bacterial SSU rRNA
Rfam family: Bacterial small subunit ribosomal RNA
Source: RNAcentral
AGGGAAUAUUAGAAAUGGACGAAAGUCUGAUCUAGCAACACCGCGUGUGCGAAGAAGGCCUUCGGGUCGUAAAGCACUUUUUGGAAGGAAUAGGAAGGAAUGUACUUCCAGAAUAAGUCUCGGCUAACUACGUGCCAGCAGCCGCGGUAACACGUAGGAGGCAAACGUUAUCCGGAUUUACUGGGCGUAAAGCGCGUGUAGGUGGUACUGUAAGUAGGGCGUGAAAGCUCCUGGCUCAACUGGGAGAGGCCGUUCUAAACUACAGAACUAGAGGAUGGUAGAGGGAGGUGGAAUUCCAGGUGUAGCGGUGGAAUGCGCAGAUAUCUGGAGGAACACCGGUGGCGAAGGCGGCCUCCUGGACCAUUCCUGACACUCAGACGCGAAAGCUAGGGUAGCAAACG